Molecule: transfer RNA, 72 nt
Filed under: Bos taurus (domestic cattle)
Lineage: Eukaryota; Metazoa; Chordata; Mammalia; Artiodactyla; Bovidae
Also listed under: 1 other name
Rfam family: tRNA
About the family: Transfer RNA (tRNA) molecules are approximately 80 nucleotides in length. Their secondary structure includes four short double-helical elements and three loops (D, anti-codon, and T loops). Further hydrogen bonds mediate the characteristic L-shaped molecular structure. tRNAs have two regions of fundamental functional importance: the anti-codon, which is responsible for specific mRNA codon recognition, and the 3' end, to which the tRNAs corresponding amino acid is attached (by aminoacyl-tRNA synthetases). tRNAs cope with the degeneracy of the genetic code in two manners: having more than one tRNA (with a specific anti-codon) for a particular amino acid; and 'wobble' base-pairing, i.e. permitting non-standard base-pairing at the 3rd anti-codon position.
Source: Rfam by way of RNAcentral
UCCCUAGUGGCUUAGCUGGUAAAGAAUCUGCCUGCAAUGCGGGAGACCUGGGUUCGAUCCCUGGGUUGGGAA